CGUAAGAAGAGGAAUUAAUUCCAGCUCACAGUGAGAACAUUACAAGAGAAGCAAGUUCAUUGUGAAGGGCAAUCAGAUAGAUCCUGACCUCCUGAAUUUGGAAGAAGCCAGAAUGUCAUUGUUCUUUAGUGGGAAGAGAAUUAGACCCAGAAGAUCUGCUGUGGACAUUACAUAUCCACCCGUCUUUUUCCAUCUCUUUUAAAGUUGAGCCCACCACCACUCCACUCCAAAACCAAAAUCUGUUGCUGUACAGGUUCCUGCAUGAGUGUCGCUGAGGAUGUGAUCUGAAGAUAAUGACAUUGCACAGAUAUAAAGCUUCCAAUCUCAAAUAAGCCAGAAUGUGUGUUGUUGCUUUUGUGGAUCAGAAAAAAAACAACCAUCAAGAACUUGACAGAAAAGAAAUCUUCAAAAAUGUUGCUGCCCGAAGCUUUAUAAUUAAACAGAGAUUUUAUCACCAACAACAGAGUACCUGUCACUGUGGAGAGAAUUUGCUUCAAUUUUGUAUUUCUUUGCAGGGUUCAUUCUGAAUAUUCUCAUUCCUUCUCUUUAAAGCUGGUUUUGGAAACAGUGCAACUCUUGUGAAAUUUUUUAAAGUUG
RNAcentral lists this long non-coding RNA (597 nucleotides) under Gallus gallus (chicken). RNAcentral's name for it is "lncRNA (ENSGALG00010007385.1)". Lineage: Eukaryota; Metazoa; Chordata; Aves; Galliformes; Phasianidae. The record is from RNAcentral.